Molecule: small RNA, 621 nt
Filed under: Drosophila yakuba
Lineage: Eukaryota; Metazoa; Arthropoda; Insecta; Diptera; Drosophilidae
Description: GE28704
Source: RNAcentral
GUCAGAGGCGUCGUGCUGUAAUUUGACAUUCGAAAUUAAUUAUAACCGAAAAAAAGGCGAAGCACAAAACCUGUUUCUGAGGUUAAAGGUUGGCAAAUUUUCCGUGCAAUAAGGAAAAUGCUGGGGACAGUGGACACAAAAGCUUACGGAAUAAUAAUGGAGGACUGCAGAUACAUAUCCCAUGUCAACAUUAAUUAGGGUCCGGUAUUAUUCGCAUCUAAUGCCGGGCAAUAUUGUCCAGGGUCCAGAUAAACAUAUGACUCCAAAACAGGUCAGUUCGGGGACAGAGCAAUUAAGAUGUUUAGCGUUCGGAAUAUUUUUCGUAAAUGGAGGAAGGAGACAAAGGGUUUUGUUGUGCCCAUCAACUAGGAGGAAUUUGUUUUGACAGGCUUUACUUUUUUUGCCAUUCAUAAUUUAAGCCGAUUUAAAAAGUGGCGCCAGUUAAGUCGACCGUGGGCGUUCAGACGACACAGGAGUGGGCGUGGCCCUGGCUUGCAUCACGGCUCACAAACACAAUAGAGAAAAGAUAAGGCGCUUUAGAUGCGACAGCUUUUUUGCCCAACUGGACAGAUGAAGAUAUGUCUACACACGAAGAAAAGACAUAUUCCAAUUACAUUCAUG